Molecule: ribosomal RNA, 272 nt
Filed under: uncultured bacterium
Lineage: Bacteria
Description: partial 16S ribosomal RNA
Rfam family: Bacterial small subunit ribosomal RNA
Source: RNAcentral
GACGAACGCUGGCGGCGUGCUUAACACAUGCAAGUCGAGCGGUAAGGCCCUUCGGGUACGACGAGCGGCGAACGGGUGGAGUAACGCGUGGGUGACCUGCCUCUAGCUCUGGGAUAAGCCUGGGAAACUGGGUCUAAUACCGGAUAUGACUCCACGGCGCAUGUUGUGGGGUGGAAAGCCUUGUGUGGCUAGAGAUGGGCCCGCGGCCUAUCAGCUUGUUGGUGGGGUGAUGGCCUACCAAGGCGACGACGGGUAGCCGGCCUGAGAGGGCG